CAGCAGCCGCGGUAAUACGAAGGGGGCUAGCGUUGCUCGGAAUGACUGGGCGUAAAGGGCGCGUAGGCGGUUUUGACAGUCAGAUGUGAAAUUCCUGGGCUUAACCCGGGGGCUGCAUUUGAGACGUCAAGACUAGAGUGUGAGAGAGGGUUGUGGAAUUCCCAGUGUAGAGGUGAAAUUCGUAGAUAUUGGGAAGAACACCGGUGGCGAAGGCGGCAACCUGGCUCAUUACUGACGCUGAGGCGCGAAAGCGUGGGGAGCAAACAGGAUUAGAGACCCCGGUAGUCCCUGUCUCUUAUAC
Molecule: ribosomal RNA, 301 nt
Filed under: uncultured bacterium
Lineage: Bacteria
Description: partial 16S ribosomal RNA
Rfam family: Bacterial small subunit ribosomal RNA
Source: RNAcentral